Molecule: long non-coding RNA, 299 nt
Organism: Cydia amplana
Lineage: Eukaryota; Metazoa; Arthropoda; Insecta; Lepidoptera; Tortricidae
Exons: 2
Source: RefSeq, a predicted model, not a curated record
AUUAGCUGCCACAUUUUUGCAGAACAUGGAACGUUUCGAAAUAUUGGUCUUGAUAAUGUCCGUGCCUCUAAUAACUGCCGCCCCACAAGGUCCAAUUCAAUGUUUCCAGCAACCUCAAUACCAACCUCAAGGCUACCAAUCUCGCAGCUACCAACUUCAACACCAACCUCAAGGCUACCAAUCACGCAGCUACCAACUUCAACACUACCAGCAACAACCACAGUCCAUACCGAGUGAACAAAGUUUUGACCCAGUGUUCGGCAUAGGUUCAUUGCUAAAGAUGCCUAUUGUUGAAAUUA